GACGAACGCUGGCGGCGUGCCUAAUACAUGCAAGUGGGACGCAAGGAAACACACUGUGCUUGCACACCGUGUUUUCUUGAGUCGCGAACGGGUGAGUAACGCGUAGGUAACCUGCCUAUUAGCGGGGGAUAACUAUUGGAAACGAUAGCUAAUACCGCAUAAUAUUAAUUAUUGCAUGAUAAUUGAUUGAAAGAUGCAAGCGCAUCACUAGUAGAUGGACCUGCGUUGUAUUAGCUAGUUGGUAAGGUAAGAGCUUACCAAGGCGACGAUACAUAGCCGACCUGAGAGGGUGAUCGGCCACACUGGGACUGAGACACGGCCCAGACUCCUACGGGAGGCAGCAGUAGGGAAUCUUCGGCAAUGGACGAAAGUCUGACCGAGCAACGCCGCGUGAGUGAAGAAGGUUUUCGGAUCGUAAAGCUCUGUUGUAAGUCAAGAACGUGUGUGAGAGUGGAAAGUUCACACAGUGACGGAGCUACCAGAAGGC
RNAcentral lists this ribosomal RNA (487 nucleotides) under Streptococcus mutans. RNAcentral's name for it is "bacterial SSU rRNA". It matches the Rfam family "Bacterial small subunit ribosomal RNA", at positions 28 to 491 of the family's 1533-position model. Lineage: Bacteria; Bacillati; Bacillota; Bacilli; Lactobacillales; Streptococcaceae. The record is from RNAcentral.